RNAcentral lists this non-coding RNA (24 nucleotides) under Mus musculus (house mouse). Lineage: Eukaryota; Metazoa; Chordata; Mammalia; Rodentia; Muridae. The record is from RNAcentral.
UGCAAGCCAAGCUGACUGGUGGUC